RNAcentral lists this ribosomal RNA (667 nucleotides) under uncultured bacterium. Its description in RNAcentral is "bacterial SSU rRNA". It matches the Rfam family "Bacterial small subunit ribosomal RNA", at positions 61 to 746 of the family's 1533-position model. The record is from RNAcentral.
GUCGAGCGAGUUGAUCUCUUCGGAGUGAAGCUAGCGGCGGACGGCUGAGUAACACGUGGGCAACCUGCCUCAUAGAGGGGAAUAGCCUCCCGAAAGGGAGAUUAAUACCGCAUAAGAUUGUAGCUUCGCAUGAAGUAGCAAUUAAAGGAGCAAUCCGCUAUGAGAUGGGCCCGCGGCGCAUUAGCUAGUUGGUGAGGUAACGACUCACCAAGGCGACGAUGCGUAGCCGACCUGAGAGGGUGAUCGGCCACAUUGGGACUGAGACACGGCCCAGACUCCUACGGGAGGCAGCAGUGGGGAAUAUUGCACAAUGGGGGAAACCCUGAUGCAGCAAUGCCGCGUGAGUGAUGACGGUCUUCGGGUUGUAAAGCUCUGUCUUCGGGGACGAUAUGACGGUACCCGAGGAGGAAGCCACGGCUAACUACGUGCCAGCAGCCGCGGUAAUACGUAGGUGGCAAGCGUUGUCCGGAUUUACUGGGCGUAAAGGGAGCGUAGGCGGAUUUUUAAGUGAGAUGUGAAAUACCCGGGCUUAACUUGGGUGCUGCAUUUCAAACUGGAAGUCUAGAGUGCAGGAGAGGAGAAGGGAAUUCCUAGUGUAGCGGCGAAAUGCGUAGAGAUUAGGAAGAACACCAGUGGCGAAGGCGCUUCUCUGGACUGUAACUGACGC